AGUCGAGCGAGCUUGCCUAGAUGAUUUUAGUGCUUGCACUAAAUGACACUAGAUACAAGCGAGCGGCGGACGGGUGAGUAACACGUGGGUAACCUGCCCAAGAGACUGGGAUAACACCUGGAAACAGAUGCUAAUACCGGAUAACAACACUAGACGCAUGUCUAGAGUUUGAAAGAUGGUUCUGCUAUCACUCUUGGAUGGACCUGCGGUGCAUUAGCUAGUUGGUAAGGUAACGGCCCACCAAGGCAGCGAUCAGUAGCCGGCCUGAGAGGGUGAACGGCCACAUUGGGACUGAGACACGGCCCAAACUCCUACGGGAGGCAGCAGUGGGGAAUAUUGCACAAUGGGGGAAACCCUGAUGCAGCGACGCCGCGUGAGUGAAGAAGUAUUUCGGUACGUAAAGCUCUAUCAGCAGGGAAGAAAAUGACGGUACCUGACUAAGAAGCCCCGGCUAACUACGUGCCAGCAGCCGCGGUAAUACGUAGGGGGCAAGCGUUAUCCGGAUUUACUGGGUGUAAAGGGAGCGUAGACGGCAGCGCAAGUCUGGAGUGAAAUGCCGGGGCCCAACCCCGGAACUGCUUUGGAAACUGUGCAGCUUGAGUGCGGGAGAGGUAAGUGGAAUUCCUAGUGUAGCGGUGAAAUGCGUAGAUAUUAGGAGGAACACCAGUGGCGAAGGCGGCUUACUGGACCGUAACUGACGUUGAGGCUCGAAAGCGUGGGGAGCAAACAGGAUUAGAUACCCUGGUAGUCCACGCCGUAAACGAUGAUUACUAGGUGUCGGGGGACCAAGGUCCUCCGGUGCCGGCGCAAACGCAUUAAGUAAUC
RNAcentral lists this ribosomal RNA (825 nucleotides) under uncultured bacterium. RNAcentral describes it as "bacterial SSU rRNA". It matches the Rfam family "Bacterial small subunit ribosomal RNA", at positions 60 to 869 of the family's 1533-position model. The record is from RNAcentral.